UACACUGAAAUCUAGCAUCCUUGUUGAGAUUGUUGGGGUUAAACACGACGCACACGCGUCGUCUGUCGAGAUCAACAUGUGGGACGUAUAUAAAUGGAAGCAACUGUCAGACUCCAUUGCAGCAGUCUGUUUUGAAUUGUCAACGGAUUCGGUCCCAGCACUCCACUGCCACAUUCAUCUCAAUUCCCCAAUCAGCUCUACAUUAUAAUAUACAGUAGUUAUAUUCAGCUGGAAUGGAUUCCACCAAGGUUGCGUUGAUGUUGCUGGUCUUGAUGACUGUUGGCUGCGUCUUCAAUGUAACGGCCCACCUCAACGUUGGUCAUCAGGAUGGAACGAUGCUGGAAUCGCAGAAAAGUCACUUGCGUAGUGUCUAUUACAACUAUGAUCUGGAUGUGGCCGAGCACAAAAAGAAGAAAUACAGAGGCCAUUACCGUGGAUAUGGAGGAGGUGGUGGAGGUGGUGGUGGAUCGAGCGAAGAAAGACGGUAAACAUCCCACCCAAUUCCUGCGCACAUGAAAUAGAAUCCAUCAAUAUCUAUAUCCUGUCUCCUGUUUAUUGGAGUAUGUCCUACAUCUCGUCGGCGUAUUUAAUCGUUUAUUUCUAAAAUUCCAUGUCCAUCAAAUUUCAGAAAGGAAAUAAAAAAAUGAUGAUCAGACAAACGGCUUUGUGUAUGUGUCGUUGGUAAGACGGCGGCUGUUAAUCAUCUCCAUCCAUUGGCACUUGGCUCGUGAGAGCAACAAACAAGACACAGACACACACAGAAAAAAAAAGUGUCAGUCGAUUUGUUGUCGUGGUUUCACUUUGGGGAUUUCUCUCCAAAUAUUUCGUCGAUUGUGAAUUCGACGUUGCUUUAGAAAUCGACGCUUACUGACAAAGCCGCCAUGUUGAACCAGAGACGAAAUCUAGUUUGCCUUCUACAACAUCAAAACCCCUGGUCGAAUGAAAUAACUUUCCCUUCUUGUCCGUGCGAAAGAUUCAUUGCUGCAACGCUCGUCGGUGUUGAACUAAAAAUCCAGUUCUGAUGCAGUGCUGUCGUGUAUACGAACUCAAGUUUGUAUAAAAAGGACAGUUCUCCGACGAAAUCAUCACACCACUCCGACUGUCUGCUCCAUCAGUCUGUCCAGUCAAUUUGUCGCUCGCAUCGAUUUUCCAUCCAGCUUCAACUACAUAGAGAAUGGCUUCGACUAAAAUCGUGUUGAUCCUGGCCAUGUUGGUCGCUGUGGCUUGGACGAUGGACACUGCCGAUCCUUCUAUCAUCGACAACCAGGAUAUCGGCAUGGCUCAGAGUACCAUCUUGGAUAGCCUCUAUCCCGACUUGGCGGUGGCUGAGCACAAAAAGAAGAAGUACAGGGGAUCCAGAGGAGGUGGCGGAGGAUCUAGCGAGGAACGUCGUUAAACAAUGGCCAUGUAGACCUACGCAUGGAGUUAGACGAAGCAGGUUUUCUUUUAGGUUUUUUCCAGUUGAACAGCAUCAAGACAGAUGACCGCCGGCAUCAGAGAUUUUAUCACGCAAUUCAUAUGACAAGUUACCUACACAGAUGUGCAAUUUUAUUCGAGAGAAAUAAUGUAAAAUACAUACAAACAAAACUA
Daphnia magna is the source of this 1590-nucleotide long non-coding RNA. RefSeq lists it as uncharacterized. The transcript is spliced from 6 exons. The record is from RefSeq and is a predicted model, not a curated record. Lineage: Eukaryota; Metazoa; Arthropoda; Branchiopoda; Diplostraca; Daphniidae.